AGCUCGUAGUUGAAUUUCGGGGUUAGUAGGUUGGUCAUGCCUCUGGUAUGUACUGGUCUCACUGAUUCCUCCUUCCUUAUGAACCGUAAUGCCAUUAAUUUGGUGUUGCGGGAAAUUUGGACUGUUACUUUGAAAAAAUUAGAGUGUUUAAAGCAAGCUAACGCUUGAAUACAUUAGCAUGGAAUAAUGAAAUAGGACGUUCGAUCUUAUUUUGUUGGUUUCUAGGAUUGACGUAAUGAUUAAUAGGGAUAGUUGGGGGCAUUAGUAUUCAAUUGUCAGAGGUGAAAUUCUUGGAUUUAUUGAAGACUAACUACUGCGAAAGCAUUUGCCAAGGAUGUUUUCAUUAAUCAAGAACGAAAGUUAGGGGAUCGAAGACGAUCAGAUACCGUCGUAGUCUUAACCAUAAACUAUGCCGACUAGGGAUCGGAUGAUGUUAAUUUUUUAAUGACUCAUUCGGCACCU
Molecule: ribosomal RNA, 462 nt
Filed under: uncultured Glomus
Lineage: Eukaryota; Fungi; Glomeromycota; Glomeromycetes; Glomerales; Glomeraceae
Description: SSU rRNA
Rfam family: Eukaryotic small subunit ribosomal RNA
Source: RNAcentral